RNAcentral lists this long non-coding RNA (261 nucleotides) under Carica papaya (papaya). RNAcentral describes it as "long non-coding RNA (CPAP_LNC009289)". The record is from RNAcentral. Lineage: Eukaryota; Viridiplantae; Streptophyta; Magnoliopsida; Brassicales; Caricaceae.
GAUAUCUCCACUACGCGUGAACUCUUAUUCAACAUUGUCAAUUAACUGACCGUCUCCACACCCCGUCCGGUAUGAGUGCCAAAAAUACCAUUCCUUAAUACCCUAUCUGGUAUGAGGGUGAAACGAGCCAUCCCCAUACCCCGUUCGGUAUGAGCGCCAAAAUACCAAUCCUCAAUACCCCGUAUGGUAUGAAGCAACGUUCACGGUAGGGUUCCUUAUGUAUUCACUCCAUCCACUAUUUUUCAAUAUAUCCAGUAAGGC